ACUUGAUGUUAGCUUCUUUUACUUGUUGUCUAUAAAUAGCCCAUAUGUAACUAGAUUUUACAUCAGAAUUCAGUAGACACAUCGAUCACUUUUACAUUCUUCUAUUUUAAUAUUUCAGAAAAACAUUUUCAUGGUAAUUUGAGUUUAUCACCAUGUUUAGUUGCAGGUUUUGUCUCUUCAGCUUGGUGUCUGUCUUAUGCAUUUAUUUAUGCGUUGGAAGUUCCCCUACCAAGAAGUGCGUGGAGAUAGAAAAACAAGCUCUUCUCAAGUUGAAAGAUGGUUUCUUUUAUGGAGACAUUCUAUCUUCGUGGAACAGUGACGAUUGUUGCCAAUGGAAAGGAAUUUCUUGCAAUAAUUUAACUGGCCACGUAACCAGGUUGGAUCUGCCACAACAUUCAUAUAAUGCAAGAAGUGAAGAUUUAAUCUUUCUUGCAGACGCAAUGCCAACUGAGAAAACUUACAAUAUUCCUAGAGGAUUGGGUGGUAAGAUAGAUUCUUCAAUAUGUGAAUUACACCAUCUCACUUUCUUAGAUCUCAAUUAUAAUGGCUUAAUAGGAGAGAUUCCAGCAUGCAUUGGUUCACUUGGUCAAUUAAUAGAGUUGAAACUUGCUUUGAAUGGACUUGAUGGUUCCAUUCCUCACACUCUAGCAAACCUUUCCAAUUUGCAAAAUCUUGACCUUGGGUAUAAUCAUAAAUUGGAUGCAAAUGACCUUGAAUGGCUUCCUCUGCUUUCUAAUUUGAGGUACCUUGAUCUCUCACAUGUCUAUCUUGGUAGUGCUAUUGGUUGGCCAUCAUCAAUAAGUAAAAUCCCUUCUCUAUUGGAGCUUUAUUUAAAUGAUUGUGACCUCUCUCAAGUCGAUCCUAAAUCUUUCUCCCACAUUAAUUCUUCCACUUCUCUUCGAAUGCUUAGUCUAUCUGAAAAUAAUUUUAACUCUUCAAUUUUGUCAUGGGUGUUGAAUGUCAGCAAAGUCCUCACAGUUCUUGAUCUCUCAAACAAUGAACUUGAUGGUAGCCAAAUAGAGUUCUUUCAGACUUUAUGUCAAAUUAAGGAGUUGUACUUGGGUUCCAAUAAACUGUCUGGCCAACUUAGUGACUACUUACCAGAAAUGUGUUUUGCACAACAUGAUCUAGAGGUUUUGGAUCUUGAACACAAUCCAUUUAGCAGCGGGUUGCUUCCUGAUUUUUCAUGGAUUUCAUCCUUGAAGAGACUAUCACUCAAAAAUACCAAUAUUGUUGGGCCAUUAUCAUUUGAUAACUUACCUCGUCUUAAAGCUUUGGAUCUUAGUUUAAACCAUCUGAAUGGAUCAUUGCCUAUAUUCGAGGUCACUAAAUUUGCAUCAUUAGAAUUUUUGGAUCUUUCCCACAAUGAAUUGAGUGGGACACUUUCAUAUACUAUUGGCCAACUUUCUAAACUUUGGUUCUUGUCAGUCUCUUCCAAUAAGUUGAAUGGGAUCAUUAGUAAAACACAUCUGUUAAGCUUGUCAAAAUUAGAGAUAUUGGAUUUAAGUGGAAAUUCACUUUCUUUUACAUUGAAUCCAAAUUGGGUACCUCUUUUCCAACUACGAUACUUCCUAGCCUCAUCAUGCAUUUUGGGGCCUCAAUUUCCAAUGUGGCUCAAAUAUCAAAGGAAACUUUUGGUGUUGCAAAUCUCUAAUACCAGUAUUAUGGAUACGUUUCCCAAAUGGUUUGGGGACAUAUCAUCAAGUUUGUCAUACUUAAAUGUUUCCCAUAACAAACUGAGUGGAGUCUUGCCAAGUAUAAAAACGGGUCUUAUGAGUAAAUGGGAUUUUCGUUUCAACAAUUUGUCUGGUUCACUACCUCUUUUUCCUCCGAAUGUAUACAGUUUGUUUCUCUCAAAUAAUAUGUUCUCAGGGUCUGUAUCUUCAAUUUGUUCAAUGUCGCCAAUGUUUUUAACUUAUCUUGACCUUUCUAGUAACUUACUAGCAGGGCCACUUCCAAAUUGUUGGGACAAAUUUAAAUAUUUAUGGGUUUUGAAUUUGGCAAACAAUAGUUUAUCGGGGAGAAUACCCAGCUCAUUUGGCACUUUAAAGGAAGUUCAGUCGAUACAUUUAAAUAACAACAACCUUUCUGGUGAAAUUCCAUCUCUAGCUCCUAGUAUAGACUUAAGAUUCAUUGAUUUUGGGGAUAAUAUUCUUGAAGGAACAUUACCAACAUGGUUUGAUGUUUUGAAUGAUUUGACUGUGUUGCGUCUACGAGGCAAUAAGAUCCAAGGAAACAUACCCACAAGUUUAUGUGAUAUAACAACUCUUCAAGUAUUGGAUCUCUCUUCAAACAAUAUAACAGGGGAAAUACCACAAUGCUUGAGUCACAUAAGUGCAUUGUCAGAUGUGGAGUUUCGAAAAGAAAGCUUUUCCCAUUACAUAUAUGAAGCCAUAAUAUUUAAUUCUAUUCAAAUUGGCUUUUUUGUUGAUGAAACGACAUUGAUAUGGAAAGGAGAAAACCAAGAAUAUGGGAAAAUUCUUGGACUUAUGUCAAUCAUCGAUCUUUCUGAUAACCACUUAAUAGGAGAUAUACCCCAAAGCAUAACAACACUUAAGGCAUUAAUUGCCUUGAAUCUUUCAAGAAAUAAUCUCACAGGAUUCAUUCCCGACAACAUUGGUGAUAUGAAAAUGUUGGAAUCACUUGACUUGUCCAGAAACCAUCUUGAUGGUAGAAUGCCAACAAGCUUUUCAAAUUUGAAUUUUCUGAGUUACAUGAACUUGUCUUUCAACAACUUAUCAGGAGAAAUUCCAAUAAGCACUCAACUUCAAUCUUUUGAUGCCUCCAUGUAUGUAGGGAAUGUUGGGCUUUGUGGCCCACCACUCAAAAAACAAUGCACAGGUGAUAACAAUGGAAUAAUUGGUGAGAAUGACACCCAUGAAUACAUGAACUUUGGAUUUUACAUCAGCCUUGGGUUAGGAUUUUGUGUUGGAUUUUGGGGUGUUUGUGGAACUUUAUUUCUAAAUAGCUUGUGGAGACAUGCCUAUUUUCAAUUCUUCAACAACAUAUAUGAUUGGUUAUGUGUUACAAUUGUUGUAUUUAUCAACAAAAUAAAAAGGAGACUCCAAAUCCAAGACUAGAAGGUAAUAGUGAUUCAUUGCUUAUUAUGCACAAUGUAAUUUGUUGAAAAAGAAAAGUUAAAAGUCUAUUCAUAUCAAUGCUUGUUGAGAUGAUGAUUUUCUUCUUUUUAAUUUUUGGUUGGUGUAACUCUUUCUGAGAUAGUGAUUUUGAUGGAGGACCAUCCAUAGAGAGCUUAUACUUGAAGAUCAUUGGACCUUUAAGUAGGUUCAUGGUUAGGAGAUUAGAGGAGGCUCAAAGGAGGUGUUUUUAGACCUAUGCUCUACAUGAACAUUGAGUAUAAUUCCUUUUUUUAGUCUCAUAGUCUCUAUUAUACAUACCUUGUGUAGUUUGAGUUCUUGUACCUUGUAUGUAGUAGAUACUUGUAUAGACUUAUUUUUAGCUUUGUAUUUGUAAGGCACCCUUAUUUUUCUUUUAGGUCAUACCUUAGGAUUUUAAGGUAUGUUGCUUGGAGGCUUUUACUUCAUUUGACCUUGUAUUAAGGGCAUAGGUUUUCAUAUUUUUAGUUUCAGUAGUGGGGUGGCAAAUAACAAAUGUGUAGGUGAAGCUAGCAAUUGGGCCUUUAGUGGGCCUAGGCCAAAUUUUACAUAUUAAGUUUGUUUUUCUCUAUUUAAUCCAAGGAAUUCAUUUAGUUGGGUCUCACCUAAACCAAUUCCAAGAUUUUUGGAUUGGAUUAGACGAAGAAAAACAAGCAUGGCUGCCUAGCUCUCCUUUGGCUGAGUUUCCUUGUCAGCUUCUCCAACACAUGCACUUGCCUCUUGGCUAGACAAGGGGACAAGGUAACACUUGACACUCUAUGAUUGGCUAAUCUAGAUCUAAGUGUCCCUAACUUGCCUCUACCUUAUCUAGCUUCCACUACAAGCUUCUCCACCAGUAUAUAUACAUUAUAUUGUUUCACUUGUAAAACUCACUUUUGGAUGUUAUAUGAGAUUUGGUCGAGUAUUCUACUUAGAAUUCUCUCUCUCAAAAGUCUAAAUUCUCCUUUUGAUUUGCUUCUAAUUCUUUUAUCCUCUUCUUAACAGUGUGGUGAGAGUUAAAGUGGUUUAUCUUCUACCUUGAAAUGACACCACUUGAAGAAAGUUCUUCACCUUCUAAGGUGGAACUAGAGGUCUUUCCCUCCAUUAGAGACCUUGAAGAAGCUUGAGGAGUAUCAAGAAACAAAAGAUCUAGGAAGGAACUUGAAGGAGAAGCCAUAUCAAUCUGGUUGCUCCAUAAGGUUUCCAUCAUUUGGUAUCAUAACAAGGUCUUCUUGGUUGUGCUUGACACACUUUUGUCAUGUUCUUGAUUUGGCCUUGUUGGACACUUGUGUUGGCCUUUCGUCUGAAUUGGGAUCAUGCUUAGUCUCAAUGCUUGAUCAAUUUCCUUCUGGUGCUUGAAGCUUUUACCCUUUAUCUUGGUUCUGGCAUAGGGACUGGUACAUGCUCUAUUCUUCAUCUUGGUUGUACUUAUGUUUUUCUGAAACACUAACACACUUGUUAGGAAUAACAACAUGUAUUAUAUUUGUCUCAUUCAAAACCUUAUUGGGAAUUGCUUCGUCUGAUUUAACAGUGAUGACUGACUUAAGAUAUCUUCUCUUGUCAAAAAAAAAACUUAAGAUAUUUUCAACCUUAAAGAACUUAUAGACAAAAGUCAUAAAGUAUAAAGAGUAGUACAACAUAUACUAAUACCAAUUAUCAUUUAACAAAGUUUACUAAAACAGAGCAACAUUAUUAAAAUGUUGCAAAAUACCACUUUGGUAAUAUUUUUAAAACGUUUCCUACAAUGUUGCUAAAAGUAUUUAAUAACUAUGUCAUUGGUACGAAACAUUUAUGGUCAAAAGUAGUGACUAAUCUCCAUUAGAGACCAUGAAAAAGUGAAUUUUUUUUU
Molecule: non-coding RNA, 4944 nt
Organism: Cajanus cajan (pigeon pea)
Lineage: Eukaryota; Viridiplantae; Streptophyta; Magnoliopsida; Fabales; Fabaceae
Source: RefSeq, a predicted model, not a curated record